Long non-coding RNA from Silurus meridionalis, 333 nucleotides. RefSeq lists it as uncharacterized. NCBI's taxonomy places the organism in Eukaryota, Metazoa, Chordata, Actinopteri, Siluriformes, Siluridae. The transcript has 3 exons. The record is from RefSeq and is a predicted model, not a curated record.
UGGCACCUGGGGCCAUCCGCCAUGAUUUUGUACCGCGGCCUCGCUGAGCACGAUAACCGUAACACCGCCCGCCCUAUCCGAAGCCAUCUCUGCAGCACCUGGUUUACGACACUCUGGUUUACGACAAUAAACACGUUGCUACAGACUCCUUCCUCUCAUCCCUUUCCUCAACCAUGGACCUCCUUUGCCCCUUGACUACAAGACCCAAGAAGUCUUCUUGUCCCACACCGUGGCUGUCAGAAGUUUUGCGCAGCAGUCGACGAGAGCUCAGAUCUGCAGAGAGUGACUUCAGCCAAAACUGCCUUCUACAAGGAAAAGCUUGAGGCCUCUGCU